RNAcentral lists this transfer RNA (76 nucleotides) under Shigella flexneri. RNAcentral's name for it is "tRNA-Gly". It matches the Rfam family "tRNA". From Rfam's summary of the family: Transfer RNA (tRNA) molecules are approximately 80 nucleotides in length. Their secondary structure includes four short double-helical elements and three loops (D, anti-codon, and T loops). Lineage: Bacteria; Pseudomonadati; Pseudomonadota; Gammaproteobacteria; Enterobacterales; Enterobacteriaceae. RNAcentral also lists the same sequence under 4 other names. The record is from RNAcentral.
GCGAGAAUAGCUCAGUUGGUAGAGCACUGUCCUUCCAAGUCAGGGGUCGCGGGUUCGAAUCCCGUUUCUCGCUCCA